This 23-nucleotide ribosomal RNA is filed under the name Boletus edulis. RNAcentral's name for it is "partial 18S ribosomal RNA". Lineage: Eukaryota; Fungi; Basidiomycota; Agaricomycetes; Boletales; Boletaceae. The record is from RNAcentral.
GUGAACCUGCGGAAGGWUCAUUA